This 253-nucleotide ribosomal RNA is filed under the name uncultured bacterium. RNAcentral's name for it is "partial 16S ribosomal RNA". It matches the Rfam family "Bacterial small subunit ribosomal RNA", at positions 524 to 776 of the family's 1533-position model. The record is from RNAcentral.
UACGGAGGGGGCAAGCGUUGUUCGGAGUCACUGGGCGUAAAGGGCGCGUAGGCGGUGCGUAAAGUCAGGCGUGAAAGCCCCGGGCUUAACCUGGGAAUUGCGCUUGAUACUGACGCGCUAGAGAACGGGAGAGGAUGGCGGAAUUCCCAGUGUAGAGGUGAAAUUCGUAGAUAUUGGGAAGAACACCGGUGGCGAAGGCGGCCAUCUGGACCGUUUCUGACGCUGAGGCGCGAAAGCGUGGGGAGCAAACAGG